GAUGAAGAACGCAGCGAAAUGCGAUAAGUAAUGUGAAUUGCAGAAUUCAGUGAAUCAUCGAAUCUUUGAACGCACAUUGCGCCCGCCAGUAUUCUGGCGGGCAUGCCUGUCCGAGCGUCAUUUCAACCCUCGAACCCCUCCGGGGGGUCGGCGUUGGGGAUCGGGAACCCCUAAGACGGGAUCCCGGCCCCGAAAUACAGUGGCGGUCUCGCCGCAGCCUCUCCUGCGCAGUAGUUUGCACAACUCGCACCGGGAGCGCGGCGCGUCCACGUCCGCAAAACACCCAACUUCUGAAAUGUUGACCUCGGAUCAGGUAGGAAUACCCGCUGAACUUAAGCAUAUCAAUAAGCGGAGGA
Molecule: unclassified non-coding RNA, 356 nt
Filed under: soil metagenome
Description: partial contains 5.8S ribosomal RNA, internal transcribed spacer 2, and large subunit ribosomal RNA
Rfam family: 5.8S ribosomal RNA (bases 1-120)
Source: RNAcentral